Molecule: long non-coding RNA, 297 nt
Organism: Bombyx mori (domestic silkworm)
Lineage: Eukaryota; Metazoa; Arthropoda; Insecta; Lepidoptera; Bombycidae
Exons: 2
Source: RefSeq, a predicted model, not a curated record
CAAAAAAAAAAACUAAAACGUCAAAAGUUCGUGAUUUCCGUAUGUCACAAACAUGUAUUUAAAUCUUGAAUCUUUUAGCACAUGAAAAGGAGGUAGCUACGUAGGCAACAACAACGAUCGAUUGAGUUUGACGGCGAACAUGGAUUCUGCUACGAAGUCCUUCUCUGUCCGACAGACAUUUGACCAAUUUUUUUUAUUUUUUAUUAUUAUUGAUCCUAGUUCUGGCGACAAUCGGCGGAUUUAAGUGCUUUCAGAUUAAGUUAAAGGAAUAAUAAAGCCGAACAGAAUCUGAAAAAA